AGCACAAGCUAUGGAACUUGGGUGGGAGCUUAACUGCAAGACUCAUCCGUCAAGCAAGGACGAAAGUCGGCCUUAGU
This 77-nucleotide ribosomal RNA is filed under the name Olea europaea subsp. europaea. RNAcentral describes it as "PK-G12rRNA". Lineage: Eukaryota; Viridiplantae; Streptophyta; Magnoliopsida; Lamiales; Oleaceae. The record is from RNAcentral.